Molecule: ribosomal RNA, 347 nt
Filed under: Burkholderia sp. TJI49
Lineage: Bacteria; Pseudomonadati; Pseudomonadota; Betaproteobacteria; Burkholderiales; Burkholderiaceae
Description: bacterial LSU rRNA
Rfam family: Bacterial large subunit ribosomal RNA
Source: RNAcentral
UGGUACGCGAGCUGGGUUUAGAACGUCGUGAGACAGUUCGGUCCCUAUCUGCCGUGGACGUUUGAGAUUUGAGAGGGGCUGCUCCUAGUACGAGAGGACCGGAGUGGACGAACCUCUGGUGUUCCGGUUGUCACGCCAGUGGCAUUGCCGGGUAGCUAUGUUCGGAAGAGAUAACCGCUGAAAGCAUCUAAGCGGGAAACUUGCCUCAAGAUGAGAUCUCACUGGGAUCUUGAAUCCCCUAAAGGGCCGUCGAAGACUACGACGUUGAUAGGUUGGGUGUGUAAGCGCUGUGAGGCGUUGAGCUAACCAAUACUAAUUGCCCGUGAGGCUUGACCAUAUAACACCCA